GGAAAACAUGGGAAAAUCACACAACAACGACCCGACCUGGAGCAUGCAUCUCCAACUACAUACAGCUCUUAAUUCCAAAAACAAACCGAAAACACAGCUUCGUAUCUGUGUGGACUUUGACAAGCUGGAAGCCCAAAACUGUGAGAGGAUGCCAUUUUUUCCAGAGGAAAGCAAUGCACACACACACACCUGGCCAUCCACAUGAUGUAAAACAAAACAUGAUUAUUCAUACCAGGCUAUUUACAUGCUUUUGGUGGUGGACAGGGGUCAGCAUGGGCUCUCUGACUGUAGCUUUUCUGUGGGAUGGGACCAGCUAGGCUAGCCUUCGCUCCCCACACACCUCAUUGUGCAUUUGGUGCCCAUGACCUUGUCGCUGGAUCACCUGUUGUCUUUCCUUGGUACACUUUGGAGCUUAAGGAACGGAGAAACCUGGUCAUUACUGGCCUCAUGUCUGAGACCAUUGAAAUUGUUUGUCCUGUUAAACACUAUUGUAACUGCAUUUGCACUGUCACCCUGUGCAUCAUUUGGAGGCUGCACAUUGCUGCUGAGGAUGGCCCCACUUGGACAGCCUAGAAAUACAUGGGAUUACUGUGGAUAGUAUCAAGCUAUUCCCUGCUCAAGUUUUCAUCUUUGAACAUUUGAUUACUUCAACAGAAUUAAUUUAUGUUAAAACUAUAAUACAUUCAGGGUUGGUACAACUUCAGGACAUUAUAAUACUGGAAAUAUCCACAGCUCGGGUGAACUUGGCACAAAUAUGUACAUUAAAGAUCUGGACUAUACAGUGCCCUCCACAAUUGUUGGCACCCCUGGUUAAGAUGUGUUCUUAGGCUUCUAAUAAUAAUAAUAAUAAUAAUAAUAAUCCAUUUUUUAUUGCAAAAGCAUAAUCUCAUACUGAAAAUUGUAGAAAACGCUAACCUUUAACUCAAGUGAAUUUAAAAAAAUACAAAAAAAUCCAUGACUAAAAAAUAAUUUUUUAUUUAAUUACCUGUUCCACAAUUAUUGGCACCCCUAACAAUUCCUAUAAAAUAAAUGUAAUUGAAGCAUUUUUGUAAUUUUUAUUGUAGUUUUUAAAGUUGAUCAGAGUAUCCAGAAACUUUUAAUUAAUAAUUCAUGACUUCCUGUUUCCCUAGGGUAUAAAUAUGAUGUGAUACAGAGGCCUAUUUCUCUUAUCCACUAUUCAACAUGGGAAAGACAAGAGAACACCCCAUUCAAGUAAGGCAGAUGUGUGUCGACCUUCAUAAGUCAGGCAAUGGCUACAGGAAAAUAGCCACUCACCUAAACCUGCCCGUAUCUACACUCAGAGGAAUAAUUAAGAAGUUUAAAACAACUGGAACAGUGACAAACAAGGCUGGACGAGGACCCAAGUUUAUCUUGCCACCACGCACGGUGAGGAGGAUGGUACGAAAAGUAAAAAAAUCUCCAAAGCUCACUGUUAGAGAACUGCAUCAAAGAAUGGCAUCUUGGGGUCACAAAGUCUCCAUAACAACCAUCAGAUGCUAUCUACAUGCCAACAAGCUGUUUGGGAGGCAUGCAAGGAAAAAGCCUUUUCUCACCUACAAUCACAAACGUAAACGUCUGGAGUUUGCUAAGCAGUACUGGGACUUCAACAGGGACCGUGUGUUUUGGUCAGAUGAGACAAAGAUAGAGCUUUUUGGCAACAAACACUAAGUGGGUCUGGAGUAAAACAAAAGAUGAAUAUGUGGAAAAGCACCUCAUGCCCACUGUGAAGUAUGGUGGAGGAUCUGUGAUGCUGUGGGCCUGUUUCUCUUCCAAAGGCCCUGGGAACCUUGUGAGAGUGCAUGGCAUCAUGAACUCUUUGAAAUACCAGGAAAUCAAAACCUGAUGGCCUCUGUCAGAAAGCUGAAGAUGGGUCUUUCAGCAGGAUAGUGACCCAAAACAUGAAUAAUUGUAUUUCAAUUAAAGGAUGGAUUUUUCUCUUUUUUUUGCAUUGUGGUUCUAUAUUGUUUUUUUGUUUUUGUUUUUUAAAAAUGAAUUUAUUAGAAGCCUAAGAACACAUCUUAACCAGGGGUGCCAAUAAUUGUGGAGGGAGCUGUAGCUGCUGAGAUCUCCAAGUAUAUUGCACAAAACUAUCUUUCUAUCCAUUAGCUACCCCAUUUUAA
Hemibagrus wyckioides is the source of this 2120-nucleotide long non-coding RNA. RefSeq lists it as uncharacterized. The transcript has 4 exons. NCBI's taxonomy places the organism in Eukaryota, Metazoa, Chordata, Actinopteri, Siluriformes, Bagridae. The record is from RefSeq and is a predicted model, not a curated record.